GCACAAAAAUAAUACGUCGUCUAGGGGCUUUACCAGGUUUAACUAGUAGAAUACCCAAAUCGAGAUCAAGUUACAUCGAUCGAUCAGCAUCUAGUAAAAAGAUUUCCCAAUACCGUCUUCGUCUGGAAGAAAAGCAGAAAUUACGUUUUCAUCAUGGAUUAACAGAAAGACAGUUACUCAAAUAUGUUUGUAUCGCCAAGAAAGCAAAGGGGUCAACUGGUCAGUUUUUAUUGCAGUUGCUUGAAAUGCGUUUGGAUAAUACAAUUUUUCGUUUAGGUAUGGUUCCUACAAUCCCCGCAGCAAGACAGUUAGUUAAUCAUAGACAUAUUUUAAUAAAUACAAGUAUGGUUGACAUACCAAGUUAUAACUGCAAAAUCGGAGAUAUAAUUACAAUUAAAAAUCGUGGAAGAAACCAAUUAUCGCUUUUAACCGAUACAAUUUCGACCCAGAAACCCGGAAUCCCAAAUCAUUUAACUUUCGACUCAGUAGAUUUUCGCGGAUCAGUUAAUAAAACAAUUGAUCGUGAAGGAAUUGAUUUAAAAAUCAAUGAAUUAUUAGUUGUGGAAUAUUAUUCCCGUCAGGUUUAA
This 587-nucleotide non-coding RNA is filed under the name Riccardia andina. The record is from RNAcentral. Lineage: Eukaryota; Viridiplantae; Streptophyta; Jungermanniopsida; Metzgeriales; Aneuraceae.